Vicia villosa (hairy vetch) is the source of this 3407-nucleotide long non-coding RNA. RefSeq lists it as uncharacterized. The transcript is spliced from 3 exons. The record is from RefSeq and is a predicted model, not a curated record. NCBI's taxonomy places the organism in Eukaryota, Viridiplantae, Streptophyta, Magnoliopsida, Fabales, Fabaceae.
CAGUCGGUAAGAAUUUAAGGAUAAGAGUGUGCGAUCGAGAGGUCCGGGGUUCGAAUCCCAUUUCUAACUUUUCCUCUUUUAUUUUUAUAAAUGUUUGUUUCUAACCUCCUUUUAAUUAUUUAUUUAUUUAUUUAUUCAUAAAAAAAAUCACAAAAAUAUAGUUCUUUAUAUUUUCAUUUUUUUUAAUUUAUUAGUUUUAGUUUAUAGUUUUAUUUAUUUGUAGAGUUAUUAUUAUUAUUUUUUUUAAUGUGCUAGAAUUUGGGCUUUUUUCUUCUUAUAGGUUUUAACCUAAUUCUUCAUUAUAAAUAUAGAUUUUUCUAACAAUUAGGGGAGGCGAACUUCCAUUCACCAUACGGUACAUACACACCAACAGGCCAAUUCCACCUGGUCUAUUCACGUGCACGGUGCACCUACUUUUCUAACAGUAGAAAAAUCUAUUUUCUUCCCCGCUCAGUUGCACACCGAUAACCAUCGAUUCAGUCACCGUUACCUACGAUUCCAACUACCGCCGUAAACUCAAGUUCAUUACGCGUCACUGCCGCAUGCGCUCCGUCAACCCCCCUGAAGCCGAAACCACCGAUCAAUUUUCCGCUCAAGUCACGCACGGAUCCAUGACACUCCAUUUUGUUCAGAUUUUUCUAACAAUUAGGGGAGGCGAACUUCCAUUCACCAUACGGUACAUACACACCAACAGGCCAAUUCCACCUGGUCUAUUCACGUGCACGGUGCACCUACUUUUCUAACAGUAGAAAAAUCUAUUUUCUUCCCCGCUCAGUUGCACACCGAUAACCAUCGAUUCAGUCACCGUUACCUACGAUUCCAACUACCGCCGUAAACUCAAGUUCAUUACGCGUCACUGCCGCAUGCGCUCCGUCAACCCCCCUGAAGCCGAAACCACCGAUCAAUUUUCCGCUCAAGUCACGCACGGAUCCAUGACACUCCAUUUUGUUCAGAUUGAAGUAGUGGCUUAAGCGAUCGGUGAGGAUGACUCGUAGAGUUUAUCCGGUUAUGUUGGGUCGUGUCGGUCAUGAUCUGAUCUUGUAACACUGGGGAUAGUCUUAGAGUUACUUGUGAUACACUUUUUUGCCAUUAUUGGAUUAUGUACCGUUAAUGUUAUUGGAGAUGUUUUAUAACACUGUUGAAUGAGUUCCGCUGUGACAUAUGUUUGAUAUAUUUGGGAUUAUUCCUAAUAAAGCAUGACAAACGACUUAAAGUUUUCUUUAUUUUAUUAGUUGUAACAUCCUUGUUGUAUGAUUACUCUGAUUAUUACCGUAUUUUCCGCGGGGGUUUUAGAAGGGUGUUACAUAAGGGGUGAUUGGAUUAAAACUGUGGCCGAAUAAUGAAUUUGCUCAAUUUGGAUUUUAUGCACUGACUCAAAAUUUCCCAAUUUUUACCAGCCAUAAUUUUCUCAAUUUUCAUUAUUUGAGAAUAAUUUUGAAUUUGUUGGGAAGCUUGGGAUGUCCUCUUCAAGUGCAAAUCCAUAUGGAAUUUCUUCAGAUAUAGUCUAGCGUACGACUCAUUCUGAUCUCUAUCUUAUCUCCAAAAUAUAGAUGGCAUAUACAAGCCCAUCUCCUACAAACACUUAUCAAUACUUCAAGCUCGGAUAUAGUCUAACGCACAACUCAUUCUGACUUUCAUAUUAUCGAAAAUCAGAUGGCAUCUUUAAGCCCAUCUCCAACAAUACUCUGUCAACACUUGGAUGACAUCUUUAAGCCCAUCUCAGACAAUUUCCAACAUUUGGACGACAUCUUUAAGCCCGUGUCUGACAGUACUUCACAAACACCUGGAUGGCAUCUUUAAGCCCAUCCCCGACAAAGGUCCCUACCUCGGCAAGGGCAAAUUUCUGGGUAUUCUAGUGUUCAAUCCUCUUCUACCUUGAGAUUCCGACAGGCACACACGCCAAUCUACAUCCUCAGGUUUAAAAAGAUUGAACCGGGGCAGCUGUCAUACCCCAAAUUUUUCCCAUCUUAUUUUGACUCACAUGACCUUCAACUGCUCAAGACUAUGCAAGAUUUGGGCACAAUUACCUGUCUCCUAAACAACAAGCCUCCAAUUAGGGUUUCGUCUCUCUCCAAAAAAAUCAGGUUCUGAUACCUCAAGUGGACUUCAUGGACUCUCAUAUGCUUCAAAUAAUCCUCACACCAAGUUUCAAGCUCAAAUUCACAAGAUUGUUCAGUCAACUGCUCAAAUGAUCAAUAGUCGACUAGUUUGACCUAAAAGUCAACUAUGGUCAAAUCAGACUCAAAACUCCUGAUUUUUUCUCAACCAAAAACAUAUAAAACACUUAACAAUAUAAAACACUUAACAAUGGUUCAAAUUCAAAACAAAGUAGAGAAAGUGGUGAGUGGCCCGGUAUUGGGAACUGUUCAUCACUUAUCUACCCUAAAAGACACAAACCAAUCUCUCUUUCUUCUUUCUAAGGGCAAUGUUAUUUUCGCUCGAACGCAUCGUAGGCGAUCCCUUAUGCAAGAGCGCGAACGUUAACUCCGCCCAACUAAAAAACACAAAAACAAACAGAAAAUCUUGAGCCGGGCUACGGUAACUCUGAUUGCUGAAAAGGAUACGUAGGCAGCGGAGUAGGGCCCGUGCGAGUACAUUUCCUUCUUUUCCCUACAUUUUGCAUUCAUUCGCAUAUAGACAUAGACAUAGAUAUACACCCUUUAGAUAGAAACAAACAUAGGUGGAUGCCAUCGAGUACGAUGGGCGUGAGGUGUAACGCCCGGAAAAUAAGUAUAUACUUGAUUUGGACGUUUGUGACGUUUAUUGGAAUUGUACCAUUUUUGGAGUUGUUUCAGUCGGUAUUAGUUCGGGAUGGCGGACUAAUAUUUAAUUGAAGGUUUUCAUAUUUUUGGUACCGGAAAUAUUAUUAAGGUAAUAUUCCGCGUUUUGGGGCGUUUGAACGAUAUUUGAGCGUAAGGGCAUUUUGGUCAUUUCCGUGGGAUAAAUAUUUUCUUUAUAAGAAAGAGAUAUUUGUGAAAAAGGAAAGAAAGAAGAGAAAGAAAGAGAAGAGAGAAAGAAGAAGAGGAAAAGAAGGAAAAAGUGUAGAUUGGUGGAUUCUCGACCGAUUCGAGUUCCGAUCGUUGCUAUAGCAAGGUAAGGGGGUGAAUCUAAUUUAUCUUGGAUGUAUGAUUCUUAUAGUCUUGCUCUUGUUCUUGUCCUUGUUCUUUUCUAUGUUUGGACAAAAAUGGUGGAUUGUGAGUUUUGUGAGUUUAGAAGUUAUAAACAUGAUUUUGUGGUGUGUAUGUGUAGUGUGAUGAUAGAUACCUUCAUUGAUCAUGUUUGUUUUCCAUUACCAUGGCUUGUUUGAGUUUGGAGAUAAAGUUAGGUUUUGAGUUAGAGUGAUGAAUUAACCAUGAAAAGUGUGAUAAUAGGUUGUUUCUAUGGUUUGUAUGUGUUGUAUUGGUGUU